This 2921-nucleotide ribosomal RNA is filed under the name Staphylococcus aureus. RNAcentral describes it as "23S ribosomal RNA". It matches the Rfam family "Bacterial large subunit ribosomal RNA". Lineage: Bacteria; Bacillati; Bacillota; Bacilli; Caryophanales; Staphylococcaceae. The record is from RNAcentral.
UUAAGUUAUUAAGGGCGCACGGUGGAUGCCUUGGCACUAGAAGCCGAUGAAGGACGUUACUAACGACGAUAUGCUUUGGGGAGCUGUAAGUAAGCUUUGAUCCAGAGAUUUCCGAAUGGGGAAACCCAGCAUGAGUUAUGUCAUGUUAUCGAUAUGUGAAUACAUAGCAUAUCAGAAGGCACACCCGGAGAACUGAAACAUCUUAGUACCCGGAGGAAGAGAAAGAAAAUUCGAUUCCCUUAGUAGCGGCGAGCGAAACGGGAAGAGCCCAAACCAACAAGCUUGCUUGUUGGGGUUGUAGGACACUCUGUACGGAGUUACAAAGGACGACAUUAGACGAAUCAUCUGGAAAGAUGAAUCAAAGAAGGUAAUAAUCCUGUAGUCGAAAAUGUUGUCUCUCUUGAGUGGAUCCUGAGUACGACGGAGCACGUGAAAUUCCGUCGGAAUCUGGGAGGACCAUCUCCUAAGGCUAAAUACUCUCUAGUGACCGAUAGUGAACCAGUACCGUGAGGGAAAGGUGAAAAGCACCCCGGAAGGGGAGUGAAAUAGAACCUGAAACCGUGUGCUUACAAGUAGUCAGAGCCCGUUAAUGGGUGAUGGCGUGCCUUUUGUAGAAUGAGCCGGCGAGUUACGAUUUGAUGCAAGGUUAAGCAGUAAAUGUGGAGCCGUAGCGAAAGCGAGUCUGAAUAGGGCGUUUAGUAUUUGGUCGUAGACCCGAAACCAGGUGAUCUACCCUUGGUCAGGUUGAAGUUCAGGUAACACUGAAUGGAGGACCGAACCGACUUACGUUGAAAAGUGAGCGGAUGAACUGAGGGUAGCGGAGAAAUUCCAAUCGAACCUGGAGAUAGCUGGUUCUCUCCGAAAUAGCUUUAGGGCUAGCCUCAAGUGAUGAUUAUUGGAGGUAGAGCACUGUUUGGACGAGGGGCCCCUCUCGGGUUACCGAAUUCAGACAAACUCCGAAUGCCAAUUAAUUUAACUUGGGAGUCAGAACAUGGGUGAUAAGGUCCGUGUUCGAAAGGGAAACAGCCCAGACCACCAGCUAAGGUCCCAAAAUAUAUGUUAAGUGGAAAAGGAUGUGGCGUUGCCCAGACAACUAGGAUGUUGGCUUAGAAGCAGCCAUCAUUUAAAGAGUGCGUAAUAGCUCACUAGUCGAGUGACACUGCGCCGAAAAUGUACCGGGGCUAAACAUAUUACCGAAGCUGUGGAUUGUCCUUUGGACAAUGGUAGGAGAGCGUUCUAAGGGCGUUGAAGCAUGAUCGUAAGGACAUGUGGAGCGCUUAGAAGUGAGAAUGCCGGUGUGAGUAGCGAAAGACGGGUGAGAAUCCCGUCCACCGAUUGACUAAGGUUUCCAGAGGAAGGCUCGUCCGCUCUGGGUUAGUCGGGUCCUAAGCUGAGGCCGACAGGCGUAGGCGAUGGAUAACAGGUUGAUAUUCCUGUACCACCUAUAAUCGUUUUAAUCGAUGGGGGGACGCAGUAGGAUAGGCGAAGCGUGCGAUUGGAUUGCACGUCUAAGCAGUAAGGCUGAGUAUUAGGCAAAUCCGGUACUCGUUAAGGCUGAGCUGUGAUGGGGAGAAGACAUUGAGUCUUCGAGUCGUUGAUUUCACACUGCCGAGAAAAGCCUCUAGAUAGAAAAUAGGUGCCCGUACCGCAAACCGACACAGGUAGUCAAGAUGAGAAUUCUAAGGUGAGCGAGCGAACUCUCGUUAAGGAACUCGGCAAAAUGACCCCGUAACUUCGGGAGAAGGGGUGCUCUUUAGGGUUAACGCCCAGAAGAGCCGCAGUGAAUAGGCCCAAGCGACUGUUUAUCAAAAACACAGGUCUCUGCUAAACCGUAAGGUGAUGUAUAGGGGCUGACGCCUGCCCGGUGCUGGAAGGUUAAGAGGAGUGGUUAGCUUCUGCGAAGCUACGAAUCGAAGCCCCAGUAAACGGCGGCCGUAACUAUAACGGUCCUAAGGUAGCGAAAUUCCUUGUCGGGUAAGUUCCGACCCGCACGAAAGGCGUAACGAUUUGGGCACUGUCUCAACGAGAGACUCGGUGAAAUCAUAGUACCUGUGAAGAUGCAGGUUACCCGCGACAGGACGGAAAGACCCCGUGGAGCUUUACUGUAGCCUGAUAUUGAAAUUCGGCACAGCUUGUACAGGAUAGGUAGGAGCCUUUGAAACGUGAGCGCUAGCUUACGUGGAGGCGCUGGUGGGAUACUACCCUAGCUGUGUUGGCUUUCUAACCCGCACCACUUAUCGUGGUGGGAGACAGUGUCANGCGGGCAGUUUGACUGGGGCGGUCGCCUCCUAAAAGGUAACGGAGGCGCUCAAAGGUUCCCUCAGAAUGGUUGGAAAUCAUUCAUAGAGUGUAAAGGCAUAAGGGAGCUUGACUGCGAGACCUACAAGUCGAGCAGGGUCGAAAGACGGACUUAGUGAUCCGGUGGUUCCGCAUGGAAGGGCCAUCGCUCAACGGAUAAAAGCUACCCCGGGGAUAACAGGCUUAUCUCCCCCAAGAGUUCACAUCGACGGGGAGGUUUGGCACCUCGAUGUCGGCUCAUCGCAUCCUGGGGCUGUAGUCGGUCCCAAGGGUUGGGCUGUUCGCCCAUUAAAGCGGUACGCGAGCUGGGUUCAGAACGUCGUGAGACAGUUCGGUCCCUAUCCGUCGUGGGCGUAGGAAAUUUGAGAGGAGCUGUCCUUAGUACGAGAGGACCGGGAUGGACAUACCUCUGGUGUACCAGUUGUCGUGCCAACGGCAUAGCUGGGUAGCUAUGUGUGGACGGGAUAAGUGCUGAAAGCAUCUAAGCAUGAAGCCCCCCUCAAGAUGAGAUUUCCCAACUUCGGUUAUAAGAUCCCUCAAAGAUGAUGAGGUUAAUAGGUUCGAGGUGGAAGCAUGGUGACAUGUGGAGCUGACGAAUACUAAUCGAUCGAAGACUUAAUCAA